Molecule: non-coding RNA, 21 nt
Filed under: Caenorhabditis elegans
Lineage: Eukaryota; Metazoa; Nematoda; Chromadorea; Rhabditida; Rhabditidae
Source: RNAcentral
UCAAUUUGUAACUGUUUUCUC